UACGUAGGGCGCAAGCGUUGUCCGGAAUUAUUGGGCGUAAAGAGCUCGUAGGCGGCUUGUCACGUCGAUUGUGAAAGCCCGAGGCUUAACCUCGGGUCUGCAGUCGAUACGGGCUAGCUAGAGUGUGGUAGGGGAGAUCGGAAUUCCUGGUGUAGCGGUGAAAUGCGCAGAUAUCAGGAGGAACACCGGUGGCGAAGGCGGAUCUCUGGGCCGAAAUUGACGCUGAGGAGCGAAAGCGUGGGGAGCAAACAGG
RNAcentral lists this ribosomal RNA (253 nucleotides) under uncultured bacterium. RNAcentral's name for it is "partial 16S ribosomal RNA". It matches the Rfam family "Bacterial small subunit ribosomal RNA", at positions 524 to 776 of the family's 1533-position model. The record is from RNAcentral.